Molecule: ribosomal RNA, 217 nt
Filed under: uncultured bacterium
Lineage: Bacteria
Description: partial 16S ribosomal RNA
Rfam family: Bacterial small subunit ribosomal RNA
Source: RNAcentral
UACGUAGGGGUGCGAGCGUUGUCCGGAAUUACUGGGCGUAAAGAGCUCGUAGGUGGUUUGUCGCGUUGUCCGUGAAAUUCCCCUGGCUUAACUGGGGGCGUGCGGGCGAUACGGGGCAGACUGGAGUACUGCAGGGGAGACUGGAAUUCCCUGGGUGUAGCGGGUGGAAUGCGCAGAUAUCAGGGAGGGAAACCACCCGGGUGGGCGGAAGGGCGGG